CGACAAUUCGAAGUGCCUACAUUUUUUAUCAUUAUUACGUUCCUAAACUAAAUCAAGCUUAGAUAAUAUUAUUAGUAUCUAUUACAAGAAAAAGUUAAAACAGCUGACACUUCUAUCGGUUUACGAAGGCUCCUGUGCGAGUUUCGAUAAAAAAAACACCCAGUCGUUCAGUUCAUUGUGACCAGAAGCUUGUGUUUUCGUACGCGGCAGCGUGCACCGAGGCUGCGCAGCGAGAAUAAUAAUUUUAGUUUUAAAUUAAUUAGCAGCCAGUUACAAUGAUGAUAUGUAUUAGCGUAUUUAUAAUUGUGGUGUCUGUUGCGCUGAGUUUGAAGGUGUUGUUUAUGAGUUUUUCGUUGUAUGUGACGCUAAGAGAAUGUUAUGGAGAAAAACGGAUCAGUUUGCAGACCAGGCAAGAAAGAAACAACGUAGUAACGAUGUGGAAGCAGAUUUCGCGGCUUUUUAUGCCAAAGUUAUCUCAUUGUCCUAAUGCAGAUGGUGGAAACAGUAUUAAAUUGUGAUUUCUUGUUUUUGUUUCAUUUA
Pararge aegeria (speckled wood butterfly) is the source of this 540-nucleotide long non-coding RNA. RefSeq lists it as uncharacterized. Lineage: Eukaryota; Metazoa; Arthropoda; Insecta; Lepidoptera; Nymphalidae. The record is from RefSeq and is a predicted model, not a curated record. The transcript is spliced from 2 exons.